CACUAUCGUUAACUGAAUACAUAGGUUAACGAGGCGAACCGGGGGAACUGAAACAUCUAAGUACCCCGAGGAAAAGAAAUCAACCGAGAUUCCCCCAGUAGCGGCGAGCGAACGGGGAGCAGCCCAGAGUCUGAAUCAGCUUGUGUGUUAGUGGAACGGUCUGGAAAGUCCGACGGUACAGGGUGAUAGUCCCGUACACCAAAAUGCACAGGCUGUGAACUCGAAGAGUAGGGCGGGACACGUGGUAUCCUGUCUGAAUAUGGGGGGACCAUCCUCCAAGGCUAAAUACUCCUGACUGACCGAUAGUAAACCAGUACCGUGAGGGAAAGGCGAAAAGAACCCCGGCGAGGGGAGUGAAAAAGAACCUGAAACCGUGUACGUACAAGCAGUGGGAGCACCUUCGGGUGUGACUGCGUACCUUUUGUAUAAUGGGUCAGCGACUUAUAUUCUGUAGCAAGGUUAACCGUAUAGGGGAGCCGCAGGGAAACCGAGUCUUAACUGGGCGUUAAGUUGCAGGGUAUAGACCCGAAACCCGGUGAUCUAGCCAUGGGCAGGUUGAAGGUUGGGUAACACUAACUGGAGGACCGAACCGACUAAUGUUGAAAAAUUAGCGGAUGACUUGUGGCUGGGGGUGAAAGGCCAAUCAAACCGGGAGAUAGCUGGUUCUCCCCGAAAGCUAUUUAGGUAGCGCCUCGUGAAUUCAUCUUCGGGGGUAGAGCACUGUUUCGGCUAGGGGGUCAUCCCGACUUACCAACCCGAUGCAAACUACGAAUACCGAAGAAUGUUAUCACGGGAGACACACGGCGGGUGCUAACGUCCGUCGUGAAGAGGGAAACAACCCAGACCGCCAGCUAAGGUCCCAAAGUCAUGGUUAAGUGGGAAACGAUGUGGGAAGGCACAGACAGCCAGGAUGUUGGCUUAGAAGCAGCCAUCAUUUAAAGAAAGCGUAAUAGCUCACUGGUCGAGUCGGCCUGCGCGGAAGAUGUAACGGGGCUAAACCAUGCACCGAAGCUGCGGCAGCGACACUAUGUGUUGUUGGGUAGGGGAGCGUUCUGUAAGCCUGCGAAGGUGACCUGUGAGGGUUGCUGGAGGUAUCAGAAGUGCGAAUGCUGACAUAAGUAACGAUAAAGCGGGUGAAAAGCCCGCUCGCCGGAAGACCAAGGGUUCCUGUCCAACGUUAAUCGGGGCAGGGUGAGUCGACCCCUAAGGCGAGGCCGAAAGGCGUAGUCGAUGGGAAACAGGUUAAUAUUCCUGUACUUGGUGUUACUGCGAAGGGGGGACGGAGAAGGCUAUGUUAGCCGGGCGACGGUUGUCCCGGUUUAAGCAUGUAGGCUGGUUGUCCAGGCAAAUCCGGAUAAUCAAGGCUGAGGUGUGAUGACGAGGUACUACGGUGCUGAAGUAACAAAUGCCCUGCUUCCAGGAAAAGCCUCUAAGCAUCAGGUAACAUCAAAUCGUACCCCAAACCGACACAGGUGGUCAGGUAGAGAAUACCAAGGCGCUUGAGAGAACUCGGGUGAAGGAACUAGGCAAAAUGGUGCCGUAACUUCGGGAGAAGGCACGCUGGUGUGUAGGUGAAGUCCCUGCGGAUGGAGCUGAGACCAGUCGAAGAUACCAGCUGGCUGCAACUGUUUAUUAAAAACACAGCACUGUGCAAACACGAAAGUGGACGUAUACGGUGUGACGCCUGCCCGGUGCCGGAAGGUUAAUUGAUGGGGUUAUCCGUAAGGAGAAGCUCUUGAUCGAAGCCCCGGUAAACGGCGGCCGUAACUAUAACGGUCCUAAGGUAGCGAAAUUCCUUGUCGGGUAAGUUCCGACCUGCACGAAUGGCGUAAUGAUGGCCAGGCUGUCUCCACCCGAGACUCAGUGAAAUUGAACUCGCUGUGAAGAUGCAGUGUACCCGCGGCAAGACGGAAAGACCCCGUGAACCUUUACUAUAGCUUGACACUGAACAUUGAGCCUUGAUGUGUAGGAUAGGUGGGAGGCUUUGAAGCGUGGACGCCAGUCUGCGUGGAGCCAACCUUGAAAUACCACCCUUUAAUGUUUGAUGUUCUAACGUUGGCCCCUGACCGGGGUUGCGGACAGUGUCUGGUGGGUAGUUUGACUGGGGCGGUCUCCUCCCAAAGCGUAACGGAGGAGCACGAAGGUUAGCUAAUCCUGGUCGGACAUCAGGAGGUUAGUGCAAUGGCAUAAGCUAGCUUGACUGCGAGCGUGACGGCGCGAGCAGGUGCGAAAGCAGGUCAUAGUGAUCCGGUGGUUCUGAAUGGAAGGGCCAUCGCUCAACGGAUAAAAGGUACUCCGGGGAUAACAGGCUGAUACCGCCCAAGAGUUCAUAUCGACGGCGGUGUUUGGCACCUCGAUGUCGGCUCAUCACAUCCUGGGGCUGAAGUAGGUCCCAAGGGUAUGGCUGUUCGCCAUUUAAAGUGGUACGCGAGCUGGGUUUAGAACGUCGUGAGACAGUUCGGUCCCUAUCUGCCGUGGGCGCUGGAGAAUUGAGGGGGGCUGCUCCUAGUACGAGAGGACCGGAGUGGACGCAUCACUGGUGUUCGGGUUGUCAUGCCAAUGGCACUGCCCGGUAGCUAAAUGCGGAAGAGAUAAGUGCUGAAAGCAUCUAAGCACGAAACUUGCCCCGAGAUGAGUUCUCCCUGAGACUUUAAGUCUCCUGAAGGAACGUUGAAGACGACGACGUUGAUAGGCCGGGUGUGUAAGCGCAGCGAUGCGUUGAGCUAACCGGUACUAAUGAACCGUGAGGCUUAACCUU
This 2758-nucleotide ribosomal RNA is filed under the name Klebsiella pneumoniae. RNAcentral describes it as "bacterial LSU rRNA". It matches the Rfam family "Bacterial large subunit ribosomal RNA". The record is from RNAcentral. Lineage: Bacteria; Pseudomonadati; Pseudomonadota; Gammaproteobacteria; Enterobacterales; Enterobacteriaceae.